This 1766-nucleotide long non-coding RNA is filed under the name Homo sapiens (human). RNAcentral describes it as "HSALNT0133896". The record is from RNAcentral. Lineage: Eukaryota; Metazoa; Chordata; Mammalia; Primates; Hominidae.
UACAGACAGGGAAAGAAAGAGGGGAGAGAAAGGAGAAAUUAGAGGAGAGAGAAGGAGAGAAAGGAGCGGGGAGAGAUACAAAGGAGAGAGGGAGAGAGGAGCGGGGGAAAGAAAGCGGGUAGAGAGAGAGGGAAAUAGAGAGCAGGGAGAAAGGGAGAGAAGGAGAUAGACUGGGGAGAGACCCAGAGGAGAGAUGAGAGAAAGGGGAUUAGGAGAGGGAGGAGGAGAGGGAAAGGAAAGAAAGAAGGGGGAAAAACCGGGAGAAAAAGGGAAAGAGAAGGGAUAGGGGAAAGAGGAGAGAAAGAGCCGGGGGGAGAGGGGAGGGAGAGAGAAAAAGUGAGGAAGGAAAGAGACACAGGAGAGAGGAGAGGGAAAGAAGGAAAGAAACGGGGAAGAGAAGGAGGAAGAGUGGGGGGAGGGAGAAGGAGAAAAAUGAUGAGUAGGGGAGUGAGAAGGUGAAAAAAAGGAGAGUGAGAGAGGGCAGGUGAACACCAGGCCAGGGAAUGGGGGGCAACACGAAGACAGCAGAGAGGGGCCAGGGGAGCACCCAGGUCGCAGCCUUUAAUUGCCGCCCCUCCCCACCUUGGGCCAGGGCAGAGGAGGGCGGCAGCAGGAAGCUGUGCAGAGCCCAGCAGGAGGAACCUGGAUGCCCCCAGGCACUGGGGCAGCGGCUAUCCCCACCUGGAACACACUUCUUCAUCUCCGCCUGUUGGCGUCCCAAGGGUCCGCCGCCGUGUAAGAAGUACCUUUCACCUUCCACCAUGAUUGUGAGGCCUCCCCAGCCACGUGGAAAUGGCAGGUGCAGAGGAUCCAGCAUGUUAUUCUGAAACCCCAGAAGACGCUGCAGCUACCAAAUAGAAGGAGCCUGGAUCCCUGAAUGUCUUCAUGGAACAGAACAUUCUCCUCACUCCAGUCUGUUUGAACCAGAAUAUGACCUGAGCAAGAAAUAAGCCUUAAUUAUAUUUGACCAUAGAAUUCUGGUGAUAUUUCUAUGGCUGUAAGUCCAUGUUGAUUAAUACAAAGGGAUGCUGUAAAGCCUCUUCUAUUAAAAAAAGUUGCCCAAGGAGUGAAAGGAGAGAUAUUUUCUGUAAUUAAGAUUUUCAUAAUACAUAGAACAGGCUAUAGCACCUGGCAAUCAAUCAUAUGGGGUACAACAGAAAGAGGAAACAUUCCUGCUAUUAAAUUAACCAAACUGGAGUUCUUGUUAUAUAAUAUAGUAAAAUUUCCUCAAUCUUUCAGCCACCUUUAGUUCUGUAAUCUAUUAUUUCUGGGUAAAAGCAUACCAUUUGAUACACAAUCCAAACCCAAUUCUUAAUUAAUAACGUGUAUCCACUGUAUCUUACCACAUCCCAAAUCAUCUAAUACUUAACCACCUAGUUUCUAUGUUCCACUUACAUCAAACAUAUUCAUGUUUGGAAAAUUGAGCCAGCAUCUACUGCCUUAUCAGCUGAUGCAUAACAAUUUACUUUGUCUGUGCUCUAUAAUAAUGCAAGUCUGCUUGGAAAGAUAACACGUUAAAGGGUUAUCAGACCCUAACACCUUCGUAUAGAUGAAUUUAUCAGAUCCUCUGCUAAACCACUUUCGAAUCCUUGGCCAGUUCUCUACAUUUCAUGAAGAGUUAGCAUAGCCAGUCCAGGAGAUAUUAUCUUCAGGAUGUGGUCAGUUGUGGAAAGGAAGAUAGCUCUGAGGAUCUCUUUCCAGGGAAAAGAAAGACAUGAGGAUUGCUCCAAAGAUCCUCUUUCUGGGGGAAAACGCACAUACUACAG